CAAGAAUGUGGUGGUGCUUGAGUCCGUCGUCAGUGUCAAUGUUCAAAGUCAAACAUUGGGUCGUGCACUGCCUCCGAUUUAGAAUACAAUAAAGAUAAGCAGGCCAGCCACGAAGUCUACGAUGGUGGCUGUGAGCGUGGCUUGUGAAGUGAGCAGGUUUGCAUCAACAAGAGAAAUAAGAUGAACCAGGUCAGUAAUCUUAAAUAGGGUGACAGUGGACAAAAAGCAAUCGAUCAUCUCACCUUGAAGGCUUCACCCAGCUUGGUGAAGAUUGGUAGCAGCUGCCUACGCAGCACUACUGCGCCACCAACGCGAACCGAUCCUAUUAUGAUCUAAAUACAGUCGUCGACCCUGUACCUUCUUUAACCAAACAAAAUCUAGUUGAUGGCUCUGCACCUUCUUUCGUUGUUGCAUGUUGUACCUCAUCCUCUUCCUCGCAUCCUGCAGCGGCGAGAUCCGGCACUAACGGAUCCAACGCUAGGAGCCGGUGUUGGCCAGAUCCCGACGACGGCGAGCCGAGGCUGCCUGAUAGGCCUACGGGCGCCAGGAGGGAAGACGCCCCCUGUUGCCUGUAGAAGAUGAGGCGAGCUUUGAGGGUUGGGGCAUUCAAGUCCCCGUCGAUGGCCGCCGAGAGCCAUCGAUGUCCUCCUCUUGUAUCCGGCUGGGGCUCCUCUCUUCCUAACAAUAAAACGAGCCUGCAAGAUGCUCAAGGACCAGGACAACAUGUAGUUUCAAAAUUACAGAUUGUGGUCAGCUAUAGGAUGUUUAUGGGACCAUGUUUUAGCUACAAGAGAUCAACAACAUCACAUCAUGAGAGAGAGGAUGCAGCAUCAACAAUUCAGGAGAAAGAUCAGAGCAGAGCAGAAGUAAAUAUGUUUUGAGGAGAUGAACUGACCAGGAUUUAAAUGAACUCUCACUAGGAGGAGCUCAAGUUGGACUGAAACUCACUCGAUAACUGAAACUCCUAGGGCGAGGGGUGGGAUCCAGAGUGCUGCUGGCAAUGAACGGCUUGGGGUGGUGGCGUUGAACGGCUUGGGGUGGUGGCUGUGAAUGGCCAGGGUGCUCCGGCGGCAGAGCCCCACCGGGUGAUGGCGAUGCAAGCAGGAGGUCGGGAAGCUGUGGUGCUGGUGGUCGGGGUCGUCCAAUGGUCAUGGCACAACUGUACAGGAAGUUGGUUUCUCACCCAUCCACAGUUUUUUCCUUUUUGGAAUCCAUUGAACUGAAAAAAGCUACAAUGUGAGUUGAAAGUAUGAAAAUAAAAUAUCUCCGAAAGAAUAAAAAACUAGCUUUAACAUAUCUAUGAAAGAAUACACCUCUGAGGAACUAGCUUUGAACAAAUCUCUGAAAGAAUAGAGAGCAUGCAAAGUUCAAGGAAAGAAUAAGCAAAAUGGCACACUAGUACGUAGUAGUACGAGUCCAGUCUUGUACGUGCUAGUAUUAGAUUUGAAUAGUAGCUAGAAUUGAAGUUCAGGUAACCAUGGCACACACAUCAUACAGUUUCAGUCAUGUACGCACACACUGUAAUAGCAGCUGCAAUUAAAGUUCAAAUAACCACGGCACCCAUAAUAGAACAAGAAUCCGGCUAGCAGCUAGGCAAGCAAGGAAAUGUGCUUGCCUAGGCAGGUGGCCAUCAGCACGCGUAAGUCAAGGCCGUCAGUUCAAGAAUUGUGUGGCCAGCAGGAAAUGUGCUUGAAUCUUGGCUGAACUUUGUACAGGCAUCUAA
This is a non-coding RNA of Triticum urartu, 1723 nucleotides long. NCBI's taxonomy places the organism in Eukaryota, Viridiplantae, Streptophyta, Magnoliopsida, Poales, Poaceae. The record is from RefSeq and is a predicted model, not a curated record.